Molecule: ribosomal RNA, 468 nt
Filed under: uncultured bacterium
Lineage: Bacteria
Description: partial 16S ribosomal RNA
Rfam family: Bacterial small subunit ribosomal RNA
Source: RNAcentral
GACGAACGCUGGCGGCGUGCUUAACACAUGCAAGUCGAACGGAAAGGCCCUGCUUUUGUGGGGUGCUCGAGUGGCGAACGGGUGAGUAACACGUGAGUAACCUGCCCUUGACUUUGGUAUAACUUCAGGAAACUGGGGCUAAUACCGGAUAGGAUCUCCUGCUGCAUGGUGGGGGUUGGAACGUUUCGGCGGUUGGGGAUGGACUCGCGGCUUAUCAGCUUGUUGGUGGGGUAGUGGCUUACCAAGGCUUUGACGGGUAGCCGGCCUGAGAGGGUGACCGGCCACAUUGGGACUGAGAUACGGCCCAGACUCCUACGGGAGGCAGCAGUGGGGAAUAUUGCACAAUGGGCGGAAGCCUGAUGCAGCAACGCCGCGUGCGGGAUGACGGCCUUCGGGUUGUAAACCGCUUUCGCCUGUGACGAAGCGUGAGUGACGGUAAUGGGUAAAGAAGCACCGGCUAACUACGUG